RNAcentral lists this ribosomal RNA (253 nucleotides) under uncultured bacterium. RNAcentral describes it as "partial 16S ribosomal RNA". It matches the Rfam family "Bacterial small subunit ribosomal RNA", at positions 524 to 776 of the family's 1533-position model. The record is from RNAcentral.
UACGUAGGGUGCGAGCGUUAAUCGGAAUUACUGGGCGUAAAGCGUGCGCAGGCGGUUCUCCAAGUCCGUUGUGAAAGCCCCGGGCUCAACCUGGGAAUGGCAGUGGAAACUAGGGGACUGGAAUCUGGCAGAGGGGGUGGAAUGCCGCGUGUAGCAGUGAAAUGCGUAGAGAUGCGGCGGAACACCGAUGGCGAAGGCAGCCCCCUGGGCUGAGAUUGACGGCUCAGGCACGAAAGCGUGGGGAGCAAACAGG